GCCUUCGUAGUGUAGUGGUCAGCGCGUUUGGCGAGUAUUCGAGAGGUCUGUGGUUCGAGUCCCGGUGAGGGCA
This 73-nucleotide transfer RNA is filed under the name Stegodyphus mimosarum. It matches the Rfam family "tRNA". From Rfam's summary of the family: Transfer RNA (tRNA) molecules are approximately 80 nucleotides in length. Their secondary structure includes four short double-helical elements and three loops (D, anti-codon, and T loops). Further hydrogen bonds mediate the characteristic L-shaped molecular structure. tRNAs have two regions of fundamental functional importance: the anti-codon, which is responsible for specific mRNA codon recognition, and the 3' end, to which the tRNAs corresponding amino acid is attached (by aminoacyl-tRNA synthetases). tRNAs cope with the degeneracy of the genetic code in two manners: having more than one tRNA (with a specific anti-codon) for a particular amino acid; and 'wobble' base-pairing, i.e. permitting non-standard base-pairing at the 3rd anti-codon position. The record is from Rfam by way of RNAcentral. Lineage: Eukaryota; Metazoa; Arthropoda; Arachnida; Araneae; Eresidae.